This 253-nucleotide ribosomal RNA is filed under the name uncultured bacterium. RNAcentral describes it as "partial 16S ribosomal RNA". It matches the Rfam family "Bacterial small subunit ribosomal RNA", at positions 524 to 776 of the family's 1533-position model. The record is from RNAcentral.
UACGUAGGUGGCAAGCGUUGUCCGGAUUUACUGGGUGUAAAGGGCGUGUAGCCGGGCUGACAAGUCAGAUGUGAAAUUCCGGGGCUCAACCCCGGACCUGCAUUUGAAACCGUUGGUCUUGAGUAUCGGAGAGGCAGGCGGAAUUCCUAGUGUAGCGGUGAAAUGCGUAGAUAUUAGGAGGAACACCAGUGGCGAAGGCGGCCUGCUGGACGACAACUGACGGUGAGGCGCGAAAGCGUGGGGAGCAAACAGG